RNAcentral lists this ribosomal RNA (1446 nucleotides) under uncultured bacterium. RNAcentral describes it as "bacterial SSU rRNA". It matches the Rfam family "Bacterial small subunit ribosomal RNA". The record is from RNAcentral.
AGAGUUUGAUCCUGGCUCAAGAUGAACGCUGGCCGCCUGCUUAACACAUGCAAGUCCAACGAACCUUCGGGUUAGUGGCGGACGGGUGAGUAACGCGUGAGAAUCUGCCCUCAGGAGGGGGAUAACAGCUGGAAACGGCUGCUAAUACCCCAUAUGCCGCGAGGUGAAAUGAAUUUCGCCUGAGGAUGAGCUCGCGUCUGAUUAGCUAGUUGGUGUAGGUAAUGGCUCACCAAGGCUUCGAUCAGUAGCUGGUCUGAGAGGAUGAUCAGCCACACUGGGACUGAGACACGGCCCAGACUCCUACGGGAGGCAGCAGUGGGGAAUUUUCCGCAAUGGGCGAAAGCCUGACGGAGCAACGCCGCGUGAGGGAUGAAGGCCUCUGGGCUGUAAACCUCUUUUCUCAAGGAAGAAGAUCUGACGGUACUUGAGGAAUAAGCCACGGCUAAUUCCGUGCCAGCAGCCGCGGUAAUACGGGAGUGGCAAGCGUUAUCCGGAAUUAUUGGGCGUAAAGCGUCCGCAGGCGGCCCUUCAAGUCUGCUGUUAAAACGUGGAGCUUAACUCCAUCAUGGCAGUGGAAACUGUUGGGCUUGAGUGUGGUAGGGCAGAGGGAAUUCCCGGUGUAGCGGUGAAAUGCGUAGAUAUCGGGAAGAACACCAGUGGCGAAGGCGCUCUGCUGGGCCAUAACUGACGCUCAUGGACGAAAGCCAGGGGAGCGAAAGGGAUUAGAUACCCCUGUAGUCCUGGCCGUAAACGAUGAACACUAGGUGUCGGGGGAAUCGACCCCCUCGGUGUCGUAGCCAACGCGUUAAGUGUUCCGCCUGGGGAGUACGCACGCAAGUGUGAAACUCAAAGGAAUUGACGGGGGCCCGCACAAGCGGUGGAGUAUGUGGUUUAAUUCGAUGCAACGCGAAGAACCUUACCAGGGUUUGACAUCCUGCGAAUCUCUUGGAAACGAGAGAGUGCCUUCGGGAGCGCAGUGACAGGUGGUGCAUGGCUGUCGUCAGCUCGUGUCGUGAGAUGUUGGGUUAAGUCCCGCAACGAGCGCAACCCACGUCUUUAGUUGCCAGCAUUUAGUUGGGCACUCUAGAGAGACCGCCGGUGAUAAACCGGAGGAAGGUGUGGAUGACGUCAAGUCAUCAUGCCCCUUACAUCCUGGGCUACACACGUACUACAAUGCUACGGACAAAGGGCAGCAAGUUCGCGAGGACAAGCAAAUCCCAUAAACCGUGGCUCAGUUCAGAUCGUAGGCUGCAACUCGCCUACGUGAAGGAGGAAUCGCUAGUAAUCGCAGGUCAGCAUAUUGCGGUGAAUACGUUCCCGGGCCUUGUACACACCGCCCGUCACACCAUGGAAGUUGGCCACGCCCGAAGCCGUUACUCCAACCCUUGUGGAGGAGGACGUCGAAGGUGGGGCUGAUGACUGGGGUGAAGUCGUAACAAGGUAACC